GAACUUAAGCAUAUCAAUAAGCGGAGGAAAAGAAACCAACAGGGAUUGCCCUAGUAACGGCGAGUGAAGCGGCAACAGCUCAAAUUUGAAAUCUGGCGCAAGCCCGAGUUGUAAUUUGUAGAGGAUGUUUCUGGCGACGUGCCUUCCGAGUUCCCUGGAACGGGACGCCAUAGAGGGUGAGAGCCCCGUACGGUUGGAUGCCUAGCCUCUGUGAAACCCCUUCGACGAGUCGAGUAGUUUGGGAAUGCUGCUCUAAAUGGGAGGUAUACGUCUUCUAAAGCUAAAUACCGGCCAGAGACCGAUAGCGCACAAGUAGAGUGAUCGAAAGAUGAAAAGCACUUUGAAAAGAGGGUUAAAAAGUACGUGAAAUUGUUGAAAGGGAAGCGUUCAUGACCAGACUUGGGCAGGUUGAUCAUCCGUGGUUCUCCGCGGUGCACUCUGCCUGCCCAGGCCAGCAUCAGUUCGCCCCGGGGGAUAAAGGCUUUGGGAAUGUGGCUCCCUCGGGAGUGUUAUAGCCCACUGUGUAAUACCCUGGGGUGGACUGAGGUUCGCGCUCUGCAAGGAUGCUGGCGUAAUGGUCAUCAACGACCCGUCUUGAAACACGGACCAAGGAGUCGUCUUCGUAUGCGAGUGUUCGGGUGUCAAACCCCUACGCGUAAUGAAAGUGAACGUAGGAGAGAGCUUCGGCGCAUCUCCGACCGAUCCUGAUGUUCUCGGAUGGAUUUGAGUAAGAGCAUACGGGGCCGGACCCGAAA
Molecule: ribosomal RNA, 755 nt
Filed under: uncultured fungus
Lineage: Eukaryota; Fungi
Description: eukaryotic LSU rRNA
Rfam family: Eukaryotic large subunit ribosomal RNA
Source: RNAcentral